GCCGCGGCGCCGGGAAGGGUCUGUCCCGUCCUCGCGCGCCCCAGCUGCGCACCCCGGGGCGUCUGACGCACCCCUCUCCCCGGCCCCAGCGGUGGCUGUGCCCGUGAUUCCUGCUUCCUGCGGUUAGCAGUAUCAUCCCAAGUAACUUUUGGCGCCUCCGUGAGCCUCCCGAGCGCGGGCGCGGGGUGCGCCCUCUAGGCGGGCGGGUCCGGGCCCGGCGCCCCGAUGCUGCACCCCUGCGCCCGAGCGCCCGUGCCCAACUCUCAGGCAAGGGGGACGGGGGACUUGCUAGCGCCAUCGGAAGCCAGGCCUGAAAAAAUACGAAUUAGGAGUCUUCACUGCUCAGGGAGGAGAAGGAGCAGGAAAGGCCUGGGUCACAGGCAGGGGCUACCACUGACUCCUCCAGGACCAAUAUCAACUAGGGUUUGCAGUGGACUGGAAGGGGCUAUCCCGGGGGAAGGGCCCUGCCCCCCUGCACGGGCUGUCCUGGUAAGAAAUACAUGUGUGGCCAACCCCUUUCCCUAUUUGCUAUUCACCAUUUACUUGAAAAGUAGAAUUCAAGAAAAGCCGAGGAAGCCCACUCCCUCGUCUCUCCUCCAAUCUAUAAACAGCUGUCCCCGCCUGGAAAUCCUGUUCUGUCCGUGCACAGGGCUGUUCAGAGCUCAGGGUAAGCUGGCAGUUCCUCCACACCACUUGAAAUGCCACCCUUCCCAGAGAGCAGAAGUCCUGAGCGCGCCAACUACUGCUCUCCUCAGCUCCCUCCAGUCCCGGCCAGCAGAUGAAGCCACGCAUCUGCUGAAGUUAAGCCUUGCCUCCCACGAGUGGCCAGCUUCUCUGAGUGUAAAAACAACUAAUGCAAAGUUGACUCUCCAGCAGAAUUUUUCUGACUUUUACCAAAGGGCAAAAUAAGGCGUACAAUU
Molecule: long non-coding RNA, 920 nt
Organism: Octodon degus (degu)
Lineage: Eukaryota; Metazoa; Chordata; Mammalia; Rodentia; Octodontidae
Exons: 3
Source: RefSeq, a predicted model, not a curated record